GGUAUAAUAAUUACGGAUUAAGAGAUUUUUCGAGGAGGCUGGACGCAGCUUCCUUAUUUGCCCUGGACGACUUACCCUCCUGGUCUCCAGGGUUUUUUU
Non-coding RNA from Desulfuromonadaceae bacterium GWC2_58_13, 99 nucleotides. The record is from Rfam. Lineage: Bacteria; Pseudomonadati; Thermodesulfobacteriota; Desulfuromonadia; Desulfuromonadales; Desulfuromonadaceae.